UAGGGAAUCUUCGGCAAUGGACGAAAGUCUGACCGAGCAACGCCGCGUGAGUGAAGAAGGUUUUCGGAUCGUAAAACUCUGUUGUUAGAGAAGAACAAGGACGUUAGUAACUGAACGUCCCCUGACGGUAUCUAACCAGAAAGCCACGGCUAACUACGUGCCAGCAGCCGCGGUAAUACGUAGGUGGCAAGCGUUGUCCGGAUUUAUUGGUCGUAAAGCGAGCGCAGGCGGUUUCUUAAGUCUGAUGUGAAAGCCCCCGGCUCAACCGGGGAGGGUAAUUGGAAACUGGGAGACUUGAGUGCAGAAGAGGAGAGUGGAAUUCCAUGUGUAGCGGUGAAAUGCGUAGAUAUAUGGAGGAACACCAGUGGCGAAGGCGGCUCUCUGGUCUGUAACUGACGCUGAGGCUCGAAAGCGUGGGGAGCAAACAGG
This 429-nucleotide ribosomal RNA is filed under the name Gemmatimonadota bacterium. RNAcentral describes it as "Gemmatimonadetes bacterium partial 16S ribosomal RNA". It matches the Rfam family "Bacterial small subunit ribosomal RNA", at positions 355 to 776 of the family's 1533-position model. Lineage: Bacteria; Pseudomonadati; Gemmatimonadota. The record is from RNAcentral.